CUACGUGCCAGCAGCCGCGGUAAUACGGAGGGUGCGAGCGUUAAUCGGAAUAACUGGGCGUAAAGGGCACGCAGGCGGUGACUUAAGUGAGGUGUGAAAGCCCCGGGCUUAACCUGGGAACUGCAUUCGAAACUGGCAGGCUAGAGUCUUGUAGAGGGGGGUAGAAUUCCAGGUGUAGCGGUGAAAUGCGUAGAGAUCUGGAGGAAUACCGGUGGCGAAGGCGGCCCCCUGGACAAAGACUGACGCUCAGGUGCGAAAGCGUGGGGAGCAAACAGGAUUAGAUACCCUGGUAGUCCACGCCGUAAACGAUGUCGACUUGGAGGUUGUGCCCUUGAGGCGUGGCUUCCGGAGCUAACGCGUUAAGUCGACCGCCUGGGGAGUACGGCCGCAAGGUUAAAACUCAAAUGAAUUGACGGGGGCCCGCACAAGCGGUGGAGCAUGUGGUUUAAUUCGACGCAACGCGAGGAGCCUUACCAGAUCUUGACAUCC
This 489-nucleotide ribosomal RNA is filed under the name uncultured bacterium. RNAcentral describes it as "bacterial SSU rRNA". It matches the Rfam family "Bacterial small subunit ribosomal RNA", at positions 501 to 989 of the family's 1533-position model. The record is from RNAcentral.